AGCUCCAAUAGCGUAUAUUAAAGUUGUUGCGGUUAAAAAGCUCGUAGUUGGAUCUCGGCAGGCAGGGGGUGGUUCGCUCCUUAGCGCUACUGCCCCAUUUGCCUGUGUGAUUGGCAGAGGUUUCGGGGUGCCCUUUAUUGAGUGACCCGGAGCGCUGUCAGGUUUACUUUGAAAAAAUUAGAGUGCUCAAAGCAGGCUUUUCACGCUUGAAUAUUCGUGCAUGGAAUAAUAGAAUAGGAACUCGUUUCUAUUUUGUUGGUUUUCGGAAAUCGAGUUAAUGAUUAAUAGGGACAAUUGGGGGCAUUAGUAUUCAGACGACAGAGGUGAAAUUCUUGGACCGUUUGAAGACAAACUACUGCGAAAGCAUUUGCCAAGAAUGUUU
Molecule: ribosomal RNA, 382 nt
Filed under: uncultured eukaryote
Lineage: Eukaryota
Description: SSU rRNA
Rfam family: Eukaryotic small subunit ribosomal RNA
Source: RNAcentral